GAUUAACGCUAGCGGCAGGCCUAAUACAUGCAAGUUGAACGGGAUUAGUCGUAGCAAUACGAUUAUGAGAGUAGCGCACGGGUGCGUAACACGUAUGCAACCUACCUAUAACUGGGGGAUAGCCUCCCGAAAGGGAGAUUAAUACCGCAUAACACUAUGAGAUGGCAUCAUUUUAUAGUUAAAUCUACGGAGGUUAUAGAUGGGCAUGCGUCCGAUUAGCUAGUUGGUGAGGUAAUGGCUCACCAAGGCUCCGAUCGGUAGGGGGUCUGAGAGGAUGAUCCCCCACACUGGUACUGAGACACGGACCAGACUCCUACGGGAGGCAGCAGUAAGGAAUAUUGGACAAUGGGCGCAAGCCUGAUCCAGCCAUGCCGCGUGAAGGAUGAAGGCCCUAUGGGUCGUAAACUUCUUUUAUACGGGACAAAACCCCUCCUCGUGAGGAGGGUUGAUGGUACUGUAAGAAUAAGGGUCGGCUAACUUCGUGCCAGCAGCCGCGGUAAUACGAAGGACCCGAGCGUUAUCCGGAUUUAUUGGGUUUAAAGGGUGCGUAGGCGGAUUAGUAAGUCAGUGGUGAAAGCCCGUCGCUUAACGGCGGAACUGCCAUUGAUACUGCUAGUCUUGAGUAUGGUUGAGGUGGGCGGAAU
Molecule: ribosomal RNA, 644 nt
Filed under: uncultured bacterium
Lineage: Bacteria
Description: bacterial SSU rRNA
Rfam family: Bacterial small subunit ribosomal RNA
Source: RNAcentral